RNAcentral lists this ribosomal RNA (253 nucleotides) under uncultured bacterium. RNAcentral describes it as "partial 16S ribosomal RNA". It matches the Rfam family "Bacterial small subunit ribosomal RNA", at positions 524 to 776 of the family's 1533-position model. The record is from RNAcentral.
UACGUAGGGUGCAAGCGUUGUCCGGAAUUAUUAGGCGUAAAGAGCUCGUAGGCGGUUUGUCGCGUCGAAUGUGAAAACCCGGGGCUCAACCCCGGGCCUGCAUUCGAUACGGGCAGACUAGAGUUCGGUAGGGGAGUCUGGAAUUCCUGGUGUAGCGGUGAAAUGCGCAGAUAUCAGGAGGAACACCGGUGGCGAAGGCGGGUCUCUGGGCCGAUACUGACGCUGAGGAGCGAAAGCGUGGGGAGCGAACAGG